GACGAACGCUGGCGGCGUGCUUAACACAUGCAAGUCGAACGGAAAGGCCCUGCUUUUGUGGGGUGCUCGAGUGGCGAACGGGUGAGUAACACGUGAGUAACCUGCCCUUGACUUUGGGAUAACUUCAGGAAACUGGGGCUAAUACCGGAUAGGAGCUCCUGCUGCAUGGUGGGGGUUGGAAAGUUUCGGCGGUUGGGGAUGGACUCGCGGCUUAUCAGCUUGUUGGUGGGGUAGUGGCUUACCAAGGCUUUGACGGGUAGCCGGCCUGAGAGGGUGACCGGCCACCUUGGGACUGAGAUACCGCCCAGAAUCCUACGGGAGGCAAGAGUGGGGAAUAUUGCACCAUGGGCGGAAGCCUGAUGCAGCAACGCCGCGUGCGGGAUGAAGGCCUUCGGGUUGUAAACCGCUUUCGCCUUUGACGAAGCGUGAGGGACGGUAAUGGGUAAAGAAGCACCGGCUAACUACGUG
Molecule: ribosomal RNA, 468 nt
Filed under: uncultured bacterium
Lineage: Bacteria
Description: partial 16S ribosomal RNA
Rfam family: Bacterial small subunit ribosomal RNA
Source: RNAcentral